This 468-nucleotide ribosomal RNA is filed under the name uncultured bacterium. RNAcentral describes it as "partial 16S ribosomal RNA". It matches the Rfam family "Bacterial small subunit ribosomal RNA", at positions 28 to 507 of the family's 1533-position model. The record is from RNAcentral.
GACGAACGCUGGCGGCGUGCUUAACACAUGCAAGUCGAACGGAAAGGCCCUGCUUUUGUGGGGUGCUCGAGUGGCGAAAGGGUGAGUAACACGUGAGUAACCUGCCCUUGACUUUGGGAUAACUUCAGGAAACUGGGGCUAAUACCGGAUAGGAGCUCCUGCUGCAUGGUGGGGGUUGGAAAGUUUCGGCGGUUGGGGAUGGACUCGCGGCUUAUCAGCUUGUUGGUGGGGUAGUGGCUUACCAAGGCGUUGACGGGUAGCCGGCCUGAGAGGGUGACCGGCCACAUUGGGACUGAGAUACGGCCCAGACUCCUACGGGAGGCAGCAGUGGGGAAUAUUGCACAAUGGGCGGAAGCCUGAUGCAGCAACGCCGCGUGCGGGAUGACGGCCUUCGGGUUGUAAACCGCUUUCGCCUGUGACGAAGCGUGAGUGACGGUAAUGGGUAAAGAAGCACCGGCUAACUACGUG